Long non-coding RNA from Chrysemys picta bellii (western painted turtle), 696 nucleotides. RefSeq lists it as uncharacterized. The record is from RefSeq and is a predicted model, not a curated record. NCBI's taxonomy places the organism in Eukaryota, Metazoa, Chordata, Testudines, Emydidae.
CAGCCAUGGAGGCAGCUUGGGGGGCGCCCAGGGGGCUGGGACUGGGACGAUCCGCUGGCAUCCUGGCCCGGGGCAGGGGGUACCGGCUCGGGACGGGGCUGACCCGGCAGCGGGGAGCCUGGGGACUGGUACGGGAGCGGCCGCCCUGAGCGAGAGCAGCGGAGCUGCCCACUCCGGAGCGGCUCGUGCUGGGACCUAGCGAUCUCCAGGUCAUGGAGCCGAGGGGUCUGUCUGAGACACCUGCCAUCACAGUGGACCUCGAUCAGCCCUGACAGCAGGAUCGCUGACAUCUCUGCAGGGUGCCCUCCGCAUGGAGUUCCCAUGACGAUGAUGCGUCUUUCCAGGGAAACAGAUUCCUAGCUCCAAACCUGCAAGGUCCCAGCAUGCCUUGCAAGGUGGGGGGGCAGGGAUCACUCACCCUGCUGCUGAAAUGCAGCCACCUCUGGGGUGGAACGCACCGGCGAGGACGAUGCCGCAAACCCUGCUGCGUGGAUGCUCAACUCCCAGGGAAGCAGCCAGGGCUGUAGGAAUGCGAGAGCAGCAUUUGUUACCGGUUCACAGCGGCGAACAACUUUGUCUGGCUCCCCAGACCCCGCUUGCAGGAGCCGAGGGAGACCUGACGGAAGGCAGCUGGAGCCGGAGACAGUCAGGAAUGAAUGGAUGGGGUGGGAGGUGCAAUAAAAGCCCUGACCACUG